RNAcentral lists this ribosomal RNA (447 nucleotides) under uncultured bacterium. Its description in RNAcentral is "bacterial SSU rRNA". It matches the Rfam family "Bacterial small subunit ribosomal RNA", at positions 355 to 825 of the family's 1533-position model. The record is from RNAcentral.
UCGGGAAUUUUGGGCAAUGGGCGAAAGCCUGAUCCAGCAACGCCGCGUGAAGGAUGAAGUAUUUCGGUAUGUAAACUUCGAAAGAAUAGGAAGAAUAAAUGACGGUACUAUUUAUAAGGUCCGGCUAACUACGUGCCAGCAGCCGCGGUAAUACGUAGGGACCAAGCGUUGUUCGGAUUUACUGGGCGUAAAGGGCGCGUAGGCGGCAAUUCAAGUCAUCUGUGAAAUCUCCGGGCUUAACUCGGAACGGUCAGAUGAUACUGCUUUGCUAGAGUGCAGAAGGGGCAAUCGGAAUUCUUGGUGUAGCGGUGAAAUGCGUAGAUAUCAAGAGGAACACCUGAGGUGAAGACGGGUUGCUGGGCUGACACUGACGCUGAGGCGCGAAAGCCAGGGGAGCAAACGGGAUUAGAUACCCCAGUAGUCCCUGAGCGGGCUGGCAAGGCGCAU